AGAUUUGUCACACUUUGAGAGAAAAACUUGUUGCCAUGACAAUGGGCUCAGAGGCUGAAAAGAAGACUUCAACCACUGUCAGCAGCAUCAUUGUGGUGGCCAAGUGGAUCAUCCCCAGAGUAGAUGAUGUUGUGAAAUCAGUGUACCAUCUGUUAAGCACCAAGCUCCUGGAUAUGAAACUGUAGUUGCCCUAUGUUAAAAACAGGAAAGCAGAAGUAAAUGGAUCCUAGACAUUGAAUUGCCUGCCCCAAAUGAAUCCUCGAAUUUACGUUAAGAUCACAUUUUGGAAUUAAUCUUAACAAGACUAAGAGUUUGUAGUAUUACUAAUAUAAAUAACAUCGAAUUUUCAGACA
This 353-nucleotide long non-coding RNA is filed under the name Homo sapiens (human). RNAcentral's name for it is "novel transcript". Lineage: Eukaryota; Metazoa; Chordata; Mammalia; Primates; Hominidae. The record is from RNAcentral.